GACGAACGCUGGCGGCGUGCCUAAUACAUGCAAGUCGUGCGGACCUUUUAAAAGCUUGCUUUUAAAAGGUUAGCGGCGGACGGGUGAGUAACACGUGGGCAACCUGCCUGUAAGACUGGGAUAACGCCGGGAAACCGGGGCUAAUACCAGAUCGUUUUUUCCUCCGCAUGGAGGAAAAAGGAAAGGCGGCUUCGGCUGCCACUUACAGAUGGGCCCGCGGCGCAUUAGCUAGUUGGCGGGGUAACGGCCCACCAAGGCAACGAUGCGUAGCCGACCUGAGGGGGUGAUCGGCCACAUUGGGACUGAGACACGGCCCAAACUCCUACGGGAGGGAGCAGUAGGGAAUCUUCCGCAAUGGACGGAAGUCUGACGGAGCAACGCCGCGUGAGUGAAGAAGGCCUUCGGGUCGUAAAACUCUGUUGCCGGGGAAGAACAAGUGCCGUUCGAACAGGGCGGCGCCUUGACGGUACCCGGCCAGAAAGCCACGGCUAACUACGUG
Molecule: ribosomal RNA, 499 nt
Filed under: uncultured bacterium
Lineage: Bacteria
Description: partial 16S ribosomal RNA
Rfam family: Bacterial small subunit ribosomal RNA
Source: RNAcentral